This is a non-coding RNA of Arachis ipaensis, 419 nucleotides long. Lineage: Eukaryota; Viridiplantae; Streptophyta; Magnoliopsida; Fabales; Fabaceae. The record is from RefSeq and is a predicted model, not a curated record.
CAGCUGCCACUAGUCCAUAGAUGAUGGGGAAUCCCUUGUGCACGUUGUUUUUAUAUUUAUUUUGGUUUAGCUCCAUUCCUUCACUUGAUUUUUGCUCCUGCUUAGUCAUCCAAUAAUAUAAGCUUUUACUAUGGCCUUGGGGUAACUCACCGAUUCGAAGCCAACCAAUAAAGUGUUACAUUCAUUUGAGUUGGCUAUUGUUCUUUGUACCUCUCUUAAUUCCUUUUUAUUUUUAUGGCCUUGCAGAAAUUUGUUCUACAGAAAUUGGUGGUAUUUCCUCUCAAACUUCAGAAUUUGUGACUUUUGAACAAUUAUAUGGGGAACUGUUUGGAUAAGAGGUGAAUGGUUGGAAAGUGGAAACUUUACUUGGGAUUCCAGACCACCUGCAGAGAUGAACUUGGUUGACUGGUUUAAGGGAA